This 424-nucleotide ribosomal RNA is filed under the name uncultured bacterium. RNAcentral describes it as "bacterial SSU rRNA". It matches the Rfam family "Bacterial small subunit ribosomal RNA", at positions 917 to 1345 of the family's 1533-position model. The record is from RNAcentral.
GGGCCCGCACAAGCGGUGGAGCAUGUGGUUUAAUUCGAUGAUACGCGAGGAACCUUACCAGGGCUUAAAUGCAGAACGACAGAGGUGGAAACACCUCCUUCUUCGGACGGUCUGCAAGGUGCUGCAUGGUUGUCGUCAGCUCGUGCUGUGAAGUGUCGGGUUAAGUCCCAUAACGAGCGCAACCCCUAUUUCUAGUUGCCAGCGGUUCGGCCGGGGACUCUAGAGAAACUGCCAGCGUAAGCUGUGAGGAAGGUGGGGAUGACGUCAAAUCAUCACGGCCCUUACGUCCUGGGCUACACACGUGCUACAAUGGUAGGGACAGAGAGUUGCCAACCCGCGAGGGUGAGCUAAUCUUCAAACCCUAUCUCAGUUCGGAUUGUCGUCUGCAACUCGACGGCAUGAAGUCGGAAUCGCUAGUAAUCGC